RNAcentral lists this long non-coding RNA (1130 nucleotides) under Brassica napus (rape). RNAcentral's name for it is "long non-coding RNA (BNAP_LNC012852)". Lineage: Eukaryota; Viridiplantae; Streptophyta; Magnoliopsida; Brassicales; Brassicaceae. The record is from RNAcentral.
GAUUUCGUCUCGCUAGUUAUUAAUUUUUGUUUUUUUUUUUAUGUUUUUAGUCUGGACAUAUUUAAUUUAGUUGAAAUCUAAUGACUUAAAUUUGCUUUCUUUCAAAAUGCUCUAACUGACGGACCUAACUAAAUGUGUACGUUAUUGUGUAGUUACCAUAGAGGUUUCGUAUUGUCUUGAGCCUGAUAUUUUGAUUUUAGAGCUCGUUUAUACGGUAGCUAAUAAUAAAAAAGAAUCAACAUGUGACAUUUAUCGUACUCAAUUACCAUGCACAUGUAUAUAUGUUUCUUGUCGUGGCAUUCUUGGUUACUCUACUCAGCUCCCUCUUCCUCAGGUUCAAAUCAUCAUAUUUCUCUCUUUUAUAUAUUAUAUAGCAUUUUGUUUAGUGAUGUUCUACCAAUUUAGUUAUUUUUCCUUUUUUUGUGAUGUAACAUCGACACAUGAUUUUAUUUAUGUGUCGUCUUGUUAUACUAUGUAUUUACAUGUUCAAGAAUAAAAACUGGUUUAAGGUUAAUUUGCUCUAGUGCGUGAUUAAGAUAUAUACAAUCCUGAAAAUUAUUUAACUAUUUUCAUAACAGGAUUUUCUAGGAUCAGGGGUAGAUUUUCCGGUAGGAAACGUCUCGUUCUUCCUCUUCUACUCAGGCCAUGUCGCAGGGUCGACGAUAGCAUCCUUGGAUAUGAGGAGAAUGAAGAGGUUGAGACUUGCCUUGCUUUUUGACAUCCUCAAUGUAUUACAAUCGAUCAGGCUUCUCGGGACGAGAGGACAAUACACGAUCGAUCUCGCUGUCGGAGUUGGCGCUGGGGUUCUCUUUGACUCACUGGCUGGAAAAUACGAAGAGAUGAUGAGCAAGAGACGCAAUGUAGGCAAUGGUUUUAGUUUGAUUUCGUCUCGCUAGUUAUUAAUUUUUGUUUUUUUUUUUUUAUGUUUUUAGUCUGGACAUAUUUAAUUUAGUUGAAAUCUAAUGACUUAAAUUUGCUUUCUUUCAAAAUGCUCUAACUGACGGACCUAACUAAAUGUGUACGUUAUUGUGUAGUUACCAUAGAGGUUUCGUAUUGUCUUGAGCCUGAUAUUUUGAUUUUAGAGCUCGUUUAUACGGUAGCUAAUAAUAAAAAAGAAUCAACAUGUGACA